GACGAACGCUGGCGGCGUGCCUAAUACAUGCAAGUAGAACGCUGAAGAGAGGAGCUUGCUCUUCUUGGAUGAGUUGCGAACGGGUGAGUAACGCGUAGGUAACCUGCCUUGUAGCGGGGGAUAACUAUUGGAAACGAUAGCUAAUACCGCAUAACAAUGGAUGACACAUGUCAUUUAUUUGAAAGGGGCAAUUGCUCCACUACAAGAUGGACCUGCGUUGUAUUAGCUAGUAGGUGAGGUAAUGGCUCACCUAGGCGACGAUACAUAGCCGACCUGAGAGGGUGCUCGGCCACACUGGGACUGGGACACGGCCCAGACUCCUACGGGAGGCAGCAGUAGGGAAUCUUCGGCAAUGGGGGCAACCCUGACCGAGCAACGCCGCGUGAGUGAAGAAGGUUUUCGGAUCGUAAAGCUCUGUUGUAAGUCAAGAACGGGUGUGAGAGUGGAAAGUUCACACUGUGACGGUAGCUUACCAGAAAGGGACGGCUAACUACGUG
This 497-nucleotide ribosomal RNA is filed under the name uncultured bacterium. RNAcentral's name for it is "partial 16S ribosomal RNA". It matches the Rfam family "Bacterial small subunit ribosomal RNA", at positions 28 to 507 of the family's 1533-position model. The record is from RNAcentral.